GACGAACGCUGGCGGCGUGCCUAAUACAUGCAAGUAGAACGCACAGUCUAUACCGUAGCUUGCUUCACCAUAGACUGUGAGUUGCGAACGGGUGAGUAACGCGUUGCUAACCUGCCUGGUAGCGGUGGAUAACUAUUGGAAACGAUAGCUAAUACCUCAUAAUAUUCAUUAUUGCAUGAUAAUUAAUUGAAAUGUUGAAUUUCACCACUACCACAUGGCCCUGCGUUGUAUUAGCUAGUAGGUGAGGUAACGGCUCACCUAGGCGACGAUACAUAGCCGAACCGGGAAGGUGAUUGGCCACACUGGGACUGGGACACGGGCCAGACUCCCAAGGGGAGGAGCAAGAAGGAAACUUCGGGAAAGGGGGAAAGGCUGAACGGACAAAGCCGGGGGAGGGAAGAAGGUUUUCGGAUCGUAAAGCUCUGGUGUAAGGGGAGAAAGAGUGUGAGAGUGGAAAGUGCACAUUGUGACGGUAUCUUAUCAGAAAGGGACGGCUAACUACGUG
This 505-nucleotide ribosomal RNA is filed under the name uncultured bacterium. RNAcentral describes it as "partial 16S ribosomal RNA". It matches the Rfam family "Bacterial small subunit ribosomal RNA", at positions 28 to 507 of the family's 1533-position model. The record is from RNAcentral.